CAGCCGCCGCGGGAAUACGUAGGGUGCAAGCGUUACUCGGAAUUACUGGGCGUAAAGCGUGCGUAGGUGGCGGUUUAAGUCCGUUGUGAAAGCCCUGGGCUCAACCUGGGAAUUGCAGUGGAUACUGGAUCACUAGAGUGUGGUAGAGGAUAGUGGAAUUUCCGGUGUAGCAGUGAAAUGCGUAGAGAUCGGAAGGAACAUCUGUGGCGAAGGCGACUAUCUGGGCCAACACUGACACUGAGGCACGAAAGCGUGGGGAGCAAACAGGAUUAGAUACCCCUGUAGUCCCUGUCUCUUAUAC
Molecule: ribosomal RNA, 301 nt
Filed under: uncultured bacterium
Lineage: Bacteria
Description: partial 16S ribosomal RNA
Rfam family: Bacterial small subunit ribosomal RNA
Source: RNAcentral